GUUAGCAUGGCAGAGCUUGGUUAUGCAA
Molecule: transfer RNA, 28 nt
Filed under: Lithobates pipiens (northern leopard frog)
Lineage: Eukaryota; Metazoa; Chordata; Amphibia; Anura; Ranidae
Description: Rana pipiens (northern leopard frog) partial transfer RNA-Leu
Source: RNAcentral